AGAGUUUGAUCCUGGCUCAGGAUGAACGCUGGCGGCGUGCCUCAAACAUGCAAGUCGAGCGGGGCUAUGUAAUACCGCAAGGUAGAACAUAGCCUAGCGGCGAACGGGUGAGUAACACGUGGGUAACCUGCCUGGAAGACAGGGAUAACGAUUCGAAAGGGUCGCUAAUACCUGAUAAUAUCCUUUCAUCGCAUGGUGAUAGGAAGAAAGGGGAAACCCGCUUUCAGAUGGGCCCGCGUCCCAUCAGCUAGUUGGUAAGGUAAAGGCUUACCAAGGCGACGACGGGUAGCCGGUCUGAGAGGAUGUACGGCCACACUGGGACUGAGAUACGGCCCAGACUCCUACGGGAGGCAGCAGUUGGGAAUCUUAGGCAAUGGACGAAAGUCUGACCUAGCGACGCCGCGUGAGGGAAGAAGGCCUUCGGGUUGUAAACCUCUGUCAUGGGGGAAGAAGUAAGUGACGGUACCCCAAGAGGAAGCCCCUGCUAACUACGUGCCAGCAGCCGCGGUAAUACGUAGGGGGCGAGCGUUAUCCGGAAUUAUUGGGCGUAAAGGGCGAGUAGGCGGUCUGUUAAGUCAGGUGUGAAAUUUCAGGGCUCAACCCUGAAACUGCGCUUGAAACUGGCAGGCUAGAGGACAGGAGAGGGAAGUGGAAUUCCCGGUGUAGCGGUGAAAUGCGUAGAUAUCGGGAGGAGCACCAGUGGCGAAGGCGGCUUCUUGGACUGUACCUGACGCUGAGGAGCGAAAGCUGGGGGAGCAAACAGGAUUAGAUACCCUGGUAGUCCCAGCCGUAAACGAUGAGUGCUAGGUGUGGGGGGCGACAAUCCUCCGUGCCGCAGUUAACGCAAUAAGCACUCCGCCUGGGGAGUACGGCCGCAAGGCUAAAACUCAAAGGAAUUGACGGGGGCCCGCACAAGCAGUGGAGCGUGUGGUUUAAUUCGAGGCAACGCGAAGAACCUUACCAGGGUUUGACAUCAUACUGCCCUCUGUAGAAAUACAGACUUCCGCUUCGGCGGACAGUAUGACAGGUGUUGCAUGGUUGUCGUCAGCUCGUGUCGUGAGAUGUUGGGUUAAGUCCCGCAACGAGCGCAACCCCUAUCCAAUGUUGCCAACAGGUAAAGCUGGGGACUCAUUGGAGACUGCCGGAGACGAUCUGGAGGAAGGUGGGGAUGAGGUCAAAUCAUCAUGGCCCUUAAGCCCUGGGCUACACACGCGCUACAAUGGUCGGUACAACGGGCAGCGAAGGAGCGAUCUGGAGCGAAUCCCAAAAAGCCGGCCCCAGUUGGAAUCGCAGGCUGAAACUCGCCUGCGUGAACACGGAAUUGCUAGUAAUCGCGAAUCAGCUAUGUCGCGGUGAAUACGUUCCCGGGCCUUGUACACACCGCCCGUCAAGCCAUGGAAGCUGGCAACACCCGAAGUCAGUGACCCAACCUGUAAAGGAGGGAGCUGCCGAAGGUGGGGCUGGUGACUGGGGCUAAGUCGUAACAAGGUAGCCGUAUCGGAAGGUGCGGCUGGAUCACCUCCUU
This 1525-nucleotide ribosomal RNA is filed under the name uncultured bacterium. Its description in RNAcentral is "bacterial SSU rRNA". It matches the Rfam family "Bacterial small subunit ribosomal RNA". The record is from RNAcentral.